CCUUGUGGAUAAAGGGAAGCAGUAGAUCAGCUAUCUUGACUUUAGUAAGUCUUUUGAUGUUGUCUCAUAGGGAUAUAUAGCUUAGGUGAGCCUGCUAUAUGGUGGAUGCACAACUGGUUGGAAAACAAUAUUCUGUACAUCGAGAAUAGUUAUCGGUGGUUCACAGUCAAGCAGGAAGGGCAUUUCAAGUGGUGUUUCGCAGGGAUCUCUCCAGAGUCCAGUUCUAUUGAAUAGCUUCAUAAGUGAUUUGCAUAAUGGCAUAGAGAAUACAUUUACAAGCUUUGUGGAUGAUACCAAGCUGGAAGUGGUUGCAAGGUCAGGAUUAGAAAUCAAAAUGAUCUUAAUAAACUGAAAAAAAUGGUCUGAAGUAAAAAUAAAAUCAUUAAGAACAAAUGCAAAGAACUCCACCUACAAAACAGGAAAUGAUUUGUCUAGGAAAGAGUAUUGCAGAGGGGGACCUGGCUGUCAUAAUGAACCACAAAUGAAAUAUGAGUCGACAGUGUAACACCCUUGCAAAAAAGGCAAAUGUUCUGGGACAUUUUGGCAGGUCUCAAGAAAUCAGUCUUCUGCUCUACUCCAUGCUGAUAAAGCCUCAGCUGGAAUAAUGUGUCCAGUGCUGGGCACCGCACUUCAGGAAAAAUAUGAAUGGGAGAAAAUCCAAAGGAGAGCAACAAAAAUGAAGAAAGAUCUAGAAAAUAUGGCCUAUGAGGGGAGAUGGAAAGAAUUUGGAUUGUUUAGUCUGGAGCUGAGAAGAUGAAGGGGCAGGGCAUGAAAAUAGACCUCAAAUACAGAAAAAGAGAAGGGUGAUCAAUUGUUCUCUUUAACCACCGACAGCAGGCCAAGGAGCAGCGGGCUCAAAUUGCAGCAAUGGAGGUUUAGGUGGGUCAUUAGGGAAAAACUUCCUCUUAAGAUGGUUAAGCACUGGAAUAAAUUAACUCGGGAGGGUGUGGAACAUUCUUCACUGGAGAUGUGUAAGAGCAGGUUAGACAAACACCUGUCAAGAAUGGUCUAGAUAAUACUUAGUCCUGCAUCAGUCCAAGAAACUGGACUACCUAACAUAUUGAGGUCCCUUCCAGUCCUAUAUCCCUGUGCUUUCUAGUGGCCUAGGUGUGCAUGUGGUAGAAGGAGUCUUCCUCCUUGAGUACUGAGUUCCAGUCUGUUUUCACUGAUAAAAGGAAGAAUUCACUUUUUCAAAGCCUAAUCCUGCAAGGUACUGAGCAUUCUUUGCUCCCACUGAAGUCUAUGGGAACUGAGGAUGGUCAAAACCUCCUGAGGAGUUCUUGAGUAGCCAAAUAGUUGAACUCAUGGUCUAAGGGCUUAGGCUGGUGGCAGAAUUCUCCUUGAAUUAGAAAGGGAACCCAAAUACUAUUGAGAUUGAGAGUGCCUUCUCUAACACUGCAGAAGGCUGUAUUGCCAGCCAAUGUCCUUGACUUGAUUUUGAAGCUGAGCAAUUUCAUCAAGCUGGGUAAGAACCAUUCCUCUUCAGAUGCAUGAAAGACAGGAGUCCAACCUUCUCCCCAGGACAGGGAACUUAGCUCAUUUAAGCAUCAUGACUGGUCACUGGGGCAGCUCCUGCUCUGACUCUGCCAUCCUGAGUUGAGAAGAAGGAAGAUUGUAGCUCUAGUCUCGAAGGCCUUUACUGAGAUGCCCUUAACACCCUCACUGCAGUAUGUGUCAAGAUGGGAUUGCUCUUCCAACCAACCUGCAGAGAGGAGCAUUUCCCCAUUAUCUAAGUACCUAUUUUAUGAGCAGCCAAACUUAUUAACACCAUUGGAUGUGACUGUGCCAGUAGAGAGGGGGCCUGAAUAGUCUAGCAUGAGGGCAUAAAUCAGGACCUUUAACGAGCAUCUGCACAUUUAAAGUUUUUCCUACAUGGCUUUUGUUUUUCUUGCACACUUCUCGCUUUGACUGGUCUAUAAAUGGGUUUUUCUCCUCCCUGUCUUCAGCCAAUAAGACCUCCCCAACAUCUGGAGAGGGGAAUCGCCCUGGUGGAAUCAUUCAUGUGUAUGGUGAUGACAACAGUGACAAAUCUGCCAGCAGUUUCAUCCCCUACUGCUCCAUGGCUCAGGCACAGCUCUGUUUUCAUGGCCACCGUGAUGCAGUCAAGUUCUUUGUCUCUGUUCCUGGUAAUGUUCUUGCAACUCUGAAUGGGAGUGUGUUGGACAGCCCCUCAGAGAACCCCAGCACAACAGCCCCUGAGACUGAGGGGCAGAAGCUGAAAAAUGUCCUGGUGCUGAGUGGAGGAGAAGGGUACAUCGAUUUCCGGAUUGGGGAUGGAGAAGAUGAUGAGACAGAGGAGAAUGCAGAAGAUACCCCCCAAGUAAAACCGGUGCUUUCCAAGGCGGAGAGGAGCCAUAUUAUUGUGUGGCAAGUAUCAUAUAUCCCUGAGUGAGAAUCUCUCCUUUCCAGCCAACAUAUCUCUCCCAUCUCCCACCUGAAUGCCAAGAUGUACAUACAGAACUCCUGCAUUACACCUACUGCUGGAAAUGGAACCCCAGACAAUUGCAACAGCUCCUGCAUUGGAUGGUGACCCCCCCCUCCCAUUCUAACCUCUGAACUUGCAGCUUUCAUAAUUGGGCCUGUGCACGUUGAGUGGUUGGAUUACUAUUCUCCUGCAGCUGGUAUCUACAAAGGGGAAAAAAAGGCAGGGAAUCUACAGGGUGAAGCCUAGAGUUAGGAAUUGUCCAAACACCUCUUGCCAAGAAGUGAGAAUCAAGCCUUUCUUGGAAGGGUUGGCCCAGGUUGUCAGGAAGGUUGCCUCAUUCUCACCUGCAUGAGAAACAAUGCAUUAACCUCGUAUCUUCCAGGGAAACGAGGCUAAUGACUCGUGACAGCCCAAAGAAAAUCUUACAUGUAGUUCACCAGAUGGAAAUCUCAUCCCAGCCUGUCUGCACAGAUUGUCCUCAAGCACCAAGUCUUAUCUCAGGAUCUGAGCACAGGCAGCACCAGGUUUAAACCAUACCUCUGCAGAGAAGGGAACAAAGGUUUCAGGAACCACUUCAGCUAUUUGGCCAUAGAGGGCCCACCAGUCUCAUGCUGGGGUAGAGUGCAGAACACAUGCUAUAUAUGGGAAAUCUCCCUCCUCUGCUUCUAAUUGUUGAUCAGUUGGUAACAUGAAGUAGUGCUCAGUGAGUGUGACAUCACGGAGGACUUUUUGGUAGAAUCAGAGGCAAAAAAGGUGUUUGAUGUCACGACAGUGUGCGCUUGGACAUGACAGUUUGCUGGGAUAUGGGUUGGUUAGCCGAAGGAAGAGCCAGCGCUACUUUGUCCACAUGGUAUUUUUGAAAUGAGGGGUAAAAAAUACUUGGUUUCAUCAUUUUUAAAAGCCUUAAAAAAUUUCAAGAGACAAGCUGUUUAGUGAUAGUUGGUUUUAAAGUGUAUCUGGUGAAGGCAAGUUCAACAUCCUUCCAUGUUGAUGUGAUAAGGCUUCUGUGUUAACCUAGGGGUUUUAAUGACUCAUGAAGAUGCAUUCUCUUCCUAGUGCUGAUUUUCUUCAGGGAGAAUGCUCUGCUCUCAAAGCAGAACAGUGCUGGAGAAAAGAAAAGGCAGGAUACUGAUUUUUGUCAUUCUUUCUCCCAGUACAUAACAGUAACCCAGUGCAAAUACAGGUUCAGGCUUGCAUAUCCCAAACUAUGGCACCCAGACAGGAGGAUGCUUUGCUAUGGCAAGAAUUGUGUUUCAUGGCUGCUCCUGCAGUUAAAUAAGUCUGUAAAAAGCUGGAGAGAGAUUCCAGGAGCUUGUAGCUCCAUGCAGUGUGCAUAUCUCAAGUUUUGUUACCUCACUCCUGCUACUGACCAACUGGUUAAAAGCCCUGAUGCCACAGUUUGCCUCCUGACUCCUCACUGUUCUCAGUUCUUGGCCUUUUAAAUCCUUGAGCAUGUGUGUAUUGCCUCACUUGCUGCAUUUCUGGCUCAGUCAGUCUUUGUAUUCUAGGAUCCCAGAGGACCUAGUGUGUCCCUAAAAACAAGUAGCCCCGUGGCACCUUAGAAACCCACAAAAAUAUAUAAUAUGAGCUUUCGUGGGCAAAACCCACUUCUUCAGAUGAGAUAUCUUCAGACAUAAGUGGGUUUUGCUCACGAAAACUCAUUACUGUAUAUUUUCGUGAGUUUAAGGUUCCACAGGGCUAUUUGUUGUUUUUAAAGAUACAGGCUAACACAGCUACCCCGCUGACACUAGUGUAUCCCUGUCAGUCUGCAGAACUUAUCCCCCCUUUUACUGUAAUAUCUGAGUGCCUCACAAUGUGUUUACCACCUGUUAGGGAGGGAAAGGUUUUGCAAGUAGGGACCUACAAAACAGAAAGAUUAACUAGCCCAGGGUCACACAGGUCCUUGGCAGAGCAGGUUUCCUAGCUAGUGUCAGCUUCCCUGGUGGACACUGCAGGGCUAUGUCUAGACUGGCAUGAUUUUACAGAAAUACUUUUAACUGAAAAGUUUUUCCGUUAAAAGUAUUUCCGCAAAAGCACGUCUAGAUUGGCAAGGAUGCUUUUGCGCAAAAGCAUCCGUGCCGAUCUAGAUGCGCUUUUGUGCAAGAAAGCUCCAAUGGCCAUUUUAGCCAUUGGGUUUUCUUGAGCAAAAAAUGAAGGUGCCUGUCUACACUGGCCCUCUUGCGCAAGUAUUCUUGCGCAAGAGGGCUUAUCCCUGAGCGGGAGCGUCAAAGUAUUUGCGCAAGAAGCACUGAUUUUGUACAUUACAAAGUCAGUGCUCUUGCGCAAAUUCAAGCGGCCAGUUUAGACAGCUGGCAAGUUUUUGCGCAAAAGCAGCUGCUUUUGCGCAAAAUCUUGCCAGUCUAGACGCACCCCCUGGUGUAAGCUAAAAAGGAUCCUAGUUCCUGUUUGAGGAGGACUUGGAUAGUGCAGGUACAACUGAGAGCAAUACCAGCCAUACAUUAGAGCGCUGGAAAGGCAACAACAGUUUCCAGAGAACAGAGCCUAGUUCAGGGGGGACAGAGACAUUGUAAUACAACACUAAUGAUAGGCAAAGGCACUCGCACUGCUCUUUGCAGGCAGAGGUCAAAUCAAAUGCUUCAGUUGUGUACCUGUAUACAGGGAUCCCCAAGAGGCCAGUCUGACCAUGUGACAUUUAUGAAUGAGUUAGGCUUUCAUUCUGCUAUUGACAUUUUUCCAGAAAUGCUUUUUGAUUGGAUAAAUCACUUAGGGUUUUAGACAGCAUAUAAUUUGCAAAUUUUGUUAAUUUGUAUCAGUUACAUUUCACUAUUUGAGAUGAUUUUAAAAAAAUGUAAUUGACAUCAGUUUCCUGAAAACACCACAAUUAUGAAACAUGACAUGAGCGUUUUACCUGUUACAGAACAUAAAUGGUAUCUGUUUUACCAAAGUGACAAUACUUGGUCCUCUGUCUCCCACUGAAAUUUCAUGACUGCUUAAGAAAAUAAGAUAUUCUCAGUGGUUCAUUUGCAGUUUGAGGCAGAUUUUCUUUUGAGAAAAGCACAUUUUCAAAAAGAGGCCAUUGACAGUCAAGUGAAGAGCCACUGCUCUAAUGUUCUAUCAUCCUCAUUCUGUGGCUACGGAGCAGCAAAGUGAAAGCUGAUUGGCUUAAACACCCCCCAUCAUAUUUCCACUGUGAUGUAUGUAAAGUACCUUGUAUGUUAUAAAAGGAUUUUUAAAAAGUGUCUUAUGGCCUGUAAACUCCGCUGUUUGGUCUGAAGAUGGCAUUCUGUAAAGAGACUGCUGUAUGAAUACUUUCCCACGCUUUGUCCCUUAUGCUAUCAAACAAAUGAACCAUAUCUGUUCUGUAUGUAAUAAAUGUGUUAACAUCA
Non-coding RNA from Pelodiscus sinensis (Chinese soft-shelled turtle), 5772 nucleotides. NCBI's taxonomy places the organism in Eukaryota, Metazoa, Chordata, Testudines, Trionychidae. The record is from RefSeq and is a predicted model, not a curated record.